Molecule: long non-coding RNA, 978 nt
Filed under: Marmota monax (woodchuck)
Lineage: Eukaryota; Metazoa; Chordata; Mammalia; Rodentia; Sciuridae
Source: RNAcentral
AUUAGUUUACAGCUGUGAAACCAUCUACAGUCUAUGCCAUAAAUAUAUUCAUCACCUUAAAAGUUUGCAGCUGCCCAUUGUAUUAUUUUUGUGAUAAGAACACAACAUAAAAUCUACCCUCUUGGCAAAUUAUUUUAAGUAUGCAAUACAGUAUUGUUAACUGUAGGCAAUAUGCUGGUAUAGUAGGCCAUUAGGGCUUAGUCAUGCUGAAUAACUGAACUUUCAUACUCUUUGACUAAUACUAAACUUCCCCAUUUGCUCUUUCUCCCAGAUCAUGGCAACUACCAGUCUAUCCUCUGUAUUAUUAGUUCGACUAUUUUAGAUUUCUCUUAAAAGAGGAAUCGUGGUAUUGUCCUAUUGCUGAUUUAUUUCACUUAAUAUAAUAUCUUGCAAGUCUAUUGUUCAAAUGGUAGAAUUUCUUUUUUAAGGCUGAAUAAUAUUCCAGUGUGUAUGUGUGUGUGUGUGUGUGUGUGUGAGACACACACACACACACAUACCACGUUCUCUUUAUCCAUUUGUAUUUAGAUUGCUUUUAGGUCUUAGCUAUUGUGAAUAAUGAUACAAUGAACACAGGAUUGCAGAUUUGCCUUUGAAAUCCUAAUUGCAAUUUCUUUGGAUGUGUACCAGAAAUAACACUGUUGAAUUUUUUGGUACUUGUUUUUAAUUUUUGAGGAACUUCCAUAUGUUUUCCACUGUGGCUACACCAGUUUAUAUUCCCAUUAUGGGUAUACAUUUUCUCCACAUUGUCACCAACACUUAUCUUUUGUCUUUUUGGUAAAGUUUGAGGUGAUAAUUUGUUGUGGUUUGAUUUGUAUUUCCCUGAUAAUUAAUGUUGUUGAGUGCCUUUUCACCUACCUGUUAGCUAUUUCUAUAUCUGCUUUUGAGAAAUGUCUUAUUCAGUUCCUGUAUACAUUUUUAAAUCAGUUUGGUUUUUUUUCUGUUGACUUAUAAGAGAUCUUGUAUGUUUUAGAUAUUAAC